This is an RNA transcript of Piliocolobus tephrosceles (Ugandan red Colobus), 5961 nucleotides long. It is a transcript of the gene named zinc finger protein 91, with no coding region annotated. The record is from RefSeq and is a predicted model, not a curated record. Lineage: Eukaryota; Metazoa; Chordata; Mammalia; Primates; Cercopithecidae. The transcript is spliced from 6 exons.
AUCUAAUCAGGGAUGCUGAACUGGGAACUGUCCAAUCAGGCACAAAGCUGGAGCAGACAGGGCGGCUUCCGGGAUGUGGCGGGGUCUUUGUCUCUUGCUGCCGCUGGAGCUCUAGGUACCCUCUUCACUGCUCUGUAUCCUAUGCUCCAGGAAGCCCAGCCUAUGUGGCCCUGUGACCUGCAGGUAUUGGAGAUCCACAGCUAAAACGCCAGGAACCCCUGGAAGCCUAGAAAUGGGACUGUUGACAUUUAGGGAUGUGGCCAUAGAAUUCUCUCUGGAGGAGUGGCAACGUCUGGACGCUGCACAGCAGAAUUUAUAUAGGAAUGUGAUGUUAGAGAACUACAGAAACCUGGUCUUCCUGGGUAUUGCUGUCUCUAAGCCAGACCUGAUCACCUGUCUGGAGCAAGGAAAAGAACCCUGGAAUAUGAAGCGACAUGAGAUGGUGGAUAAACCCCCAGAUAUACGUCCUUAUUUUGCUCAAGACUUUUGGCCAGAGCAGGGCAUGGAAUAUUCUUUUCAAAAAGUAUUACUGAGAAAAUAUGAAAAAUGUGGACAUGAGAAUUUACAGUUAAGAAAAAGUUGUAAAAGUGUGGAUGAGUGUAAGGUGCACAGAGAAGGUUAUAGUAAACUUAACCAGUGUUUCACAACUACCCGGAGCAAAGUAUUUCAAUGUGGUAAAUAUUUGAAAGUCUUUUAUAAAUUUUUAAAUUCAAAUAGACAUACGAUAAGUAUUACAGAGAAGUCCUACAAAUGUAAAGAAUGUGAAAAGACCUUUCAUUGGUCCUCAACCCUUACUAAUCAUCAGAUAACUCAUACUGAAGAGAAACCCUACAAAUGUAAAGAAUGUGGCAAAGCUUUUAAGCAUUUCUCAACCCUUACUACACAUAAAAUAAUUCAUACUGGAAAGAAAUGCUACAAAUGUGAAGAAUGUGGCAAAGCUUUUAAUCGAUCUUCAAUUCUUACUGCACAUAAGAUAAUUCAUACUGGAGAGAAGUCUUACAAGUGUGAAGAAUGUGGCAAAGCAUUUAUAUGGUCCUCAACCCUAACUAGACAUAAGAGGAUACAUACUGGAGAGAAGCCCUGCAAAUGUGAAGUUUGUGGCAAAGCUUUUAGCCAUUCCUCAGCCCUUGCUAAACACAAGAUAAUUCAUACUGGAGAGAAACCCUACAAAUGUAAAGAAUGUGGCAAAGCUUUUAACAAUUACUCAACCCUUACUAAUCAUAAGGUAACUCAUACAGAAGAGAAACCCUACAAAUGUAAAGAAUGUGGCAAAGCUUUUAAGCGACUCUCAACCCUUACUAAACAUAAAAUAAUACAUGCUGGAGAGAAACUCUACAAAUGUGAAGAAUGUGGCAAAGCUUUUAAUCGAUCUUCAAAUCUUACUGCACAUAAGAUAAUUCAUACUGGAGAGAAACCUUACAAGUGUGAAGAAUGUGGCAAAGCAUUUAUCUGGUCCUCAAGCCUUACUAAACAUAAAAGAAUUCAUACUAGAGAGAGACCCUUCAAAUGUAAAGAAUGUGACAAAGCAUUUAUGUGGUCUUCAACCCUAGCUAGACAUAAAAGGUUACACACUGGAGAGAAGCCCUACAAAUGUGAAGAAUGUGACAAAGCUUUUAGCCGUUCCUCAACCCUUACUAAACAUAAGACAAUUCAUACUGGAGAGAAACCCUACAAAUGUAAAGAAUGUGGCAAAGCUUUUAAGCAUCCCUCAACCCUUGCUAAACAUAAAAUAAUAUAUGCUGGAGAGAAACUCUACAAAUGCGAAGAAUGUGGCAAAGCUUUAAAUCAAUCUUCUAAUCUUACUACACAUAAGGUAAUUAAUACUAAAGAGAAACCUUACAAGAGUGAAGAAUGUGGCAAAGCAUUUUUCUGGUCCUCAACCCUUACUGAACAUAAGAGAAUUCAUACCAGAGAGAAACCCUACAAAUGUGAAGAAUGUGGCAAAGCAUUUAGCCAACCCUCACACCUUACUACACAUAAGAGGAUGCACACUGGAGAGAAACCCUACAAAUGUGAAGAAUGUGGCAAAGCUUUUAGCCAAUCCUCAACCCUUACUACACAUAAGAUAAUUCAUACUGGAGAGAAACCCUACAAAUGUGAAGAAUGUGGCAAAGCUUUUAGGAAAUCUUCAACUCUUACUGAACAUAAGAUAAUUCAUACUGGAGAGAAGCCCUACAAAUGUGAAGAAUGUGGCAAAGCCUUUAGCCAGUCCUCAACCCUAACUAGACAUAAGAGGAUGCACACUGGGGAGAAACCCUACAAAUGUGAAGAAUGUGGCAAAGCUUUUAAUCGAUCCUCAAAGCUUACUACACAUAAGAUAAUUCAUACUGGAGAGAAACCUUACAAGUGUGAAGAAUGUGACAAAGCAUUUAUAUCAUCCUCAACCCUCACUGGACAUAAGAGAAUUCAUACUAGAGAGAAACCCUACAAAUGUGAAGAAUGUGGCAAAGCAUUUAGCCAAUCCUCAACCUUAACUAGACAUAAGAGGAUGCACACUGGAGAGAAACCCUACAAAUGUGAAGAAUGUGGCAAAGCUUUUAGCCAAUCCUCAACCCUUACUACACAUAAGAUAAUUCAUACUGGAGAGAAACCCUACAAAUGUGAAGAAUGUGGCAAAGCUUUUAGGAAAUCUUCAACUCUUACUGAACAUAAGAUAAUUCAUACUGGAGAGAAGCCCUACAAAUGUGAAGAAUGUGGCAAAGCCUUUAGCCAGUCCUCAACCCUAACUAGACAUAAGAGGAUGCACACUGGGGAGAAACCCUACAAAUGUGAAGAAUGUGGCAAAGCUUUUAAUCGAUCCUCAAAGCUUACUACACAUAAGAUAAUUCAUACUGGAGAGAAACCUUACAAGUGUGAAGAAUGUGACAAAGCAUUUAUAUCAUCCUCAACCCUCACUGGACAUAAGAGAAUUCAUACUAGAGAGAAACCCUACAAAUGUGAAGAAUGUGGCAAAGCAUUUAGCCAAUCCUCAACCUUAACUAGACAUAAGAGGAUGCACACUGGAGAGAAACCCUACAAAUGUGAAGAAUGUGGCAAAGCCUUUAAAGAGUCCUCAGCUCUUACUAAACACAAGAUAAUUCACACUGGAGAGAAACCCUACCAAUGUGAAAAAUGUGGCAAAGCCUUUAACCAGUCUUCAAUCCUUACUAACCAUAAGAAAAUUCAUACUAGAGAGAAACCCUACACAUGUCAAGAAUGUGGGAAAUCUUUUAACCGGUCUUCAGCCUUUACUAAACAUAAGGUAAUUCAUACUGGAGUAAAACUCUACAAAUGUGAAGAAUGUAGCAAAUCCUUUUUCUGGUCCUCAGCCCUAAUCAGACAUAAGAAAAUUCAUACUGGACAGCAACCCUACAAACAGGAAAAAUUUGGCAAAACCUUUAACCAGUUUUCACACCUUACACAGAUAAGAUAACUCGUAUUGGAGAGAAAUCUUACAAGUGUGAAUAAUGUGGUAAAGUCUAUAAAAAGUCCUGAAUUCUUAACAGACAUAAGAUUAUUCAUACUGGAGAGAAACUCUACAAACCUGAAAGAUGUGCCAGUGCUUUUGACAACUCAAACUUUUCUAAACAGCAAGAAAAUCAUACUGCUGAGAAAUCCUAGAAAUGUGAAGAAUACGACAAAGCAUCUAAAUUAUUGUCACACUUGAUUGUAGGUAAGAUAAUUCAUACUGGAGAAAACUACCAGUGUGAACAAUGUGGCCAAACUUUGAACCAGUGGUCACACCUUAAUGAACAGGAAAGCAUUUAUAUUUGAGAAAAAGUGUACAAAUAUAGACAAAGUAAAAAUGCCAUUAAUACCUGCUCACAUCUUACUCAAAAUCAGAACGUUCAUACUAAAUAAAAACAUUAGAAGUGUAAUUACUGUCAAAAGAUUGGUCAGAAAAUAUGUCUUUAAAGUACAGAAGAGUAUUUAUUUUGAAAAAGCAUUCCAAAUAUGAAGAGGCAUUAUUUAUGACCUUUUCUAUGGAAAGGUUAAAACACUCUUUUUGGAGAAUUUCCUAAAUGAAAUUUGUGAGCCCAUUGAAGCCUACAUGGAAGAAUUGAAUAUCCAGUGAUAAAAACUGGAAAAAAAACUAUUGGUGAAAAUGCUUUGUGAUGUGUGGUUUUAUCACACAAAAUGGAUUGCAUCCUAUAAGGAAAAAUUGAAUAUCCAGUGAUAAAAAUUAAAGACAAUAUUUAUGUUGAAAUUCUCUGAGAUGUGCUGCUGCUUAUGACAGAAUGAAACCUGUGUUUUGAUUCACCAUGUCACACUCUUUUUAUAAAGUCUACAAAGUGACAUUUCUGAGGACAUUGAGGCCUAUUAGGAAAAAAAUGAAUAUUCAGAUUUAGUAACUAGAAGUAAGCAAUCAUUGUAAAUGCUUUUUGAUGUGCUCUUUCUUAUCACAUAAUGGAACUUGUGUUUUGAUUCAACAAGUUCCCACACUCCUUUUGUAGUAUCUAUGAAGUGACAUUUCAGAGCCAAUUGAGGCCUCUAAAAGAAAUGUUAAUAUGCAACAACAAAAAGUAGAAACAAGCUAUAUGUGAAAAGUCUUUGUGAUAUGCUGUUUCAUAUCUCAGAAUAAAAUCUCUGUUUUGAUUCACCUGAUUUCUAACCCUUUAUUUGUAGAAUAUAACAAGUGAUAUUUCUGAGCCCAUUAAUGCCUAUUAAAAUAAAGUAUAUCAUGAUAAAAACAAGAAAAAAGCUAUCAGUGAAAAUGCUUUGGAAUGUGCUGUUUCACAUCAUAGAAUGAAACCAUUUUUUGAAUUCACUCAGUUCUGAACAUGCUUUGUGAAGAAUCUAUGAAGUGACAAUUGUGAGCUCACUGAGGCCAAUAAAAAAAUAAAUCCAGCAAUAAAAACUUGAAACAAGUUAUAUUUAAAAAUGCUUUGUGAUGUAUUGUUUCACAUCAUAGAAUGGAACCUGUGUUUGUUUCACUAGAUUCCAAACAUACCUUCUGUAUAAUAUACAAAGUGACAAGUCUGUGCAGAUCAUAAGUAAAUAUAGAAUAUUCAGCUCUGAAAACUAGAAAAGGGCUAUCUGUGAGAAUGCUUUGUGAUGAUCUGUUUCAUAUCACAGAAUGAAACUUGUGUUUUGAUAUGCCAGGUUUCAUACACUCUUUUUGUAGAAUCUACAAAGCGACAUUUCUUCAUGAAGUAAGGUGAUUAGGAAAAAUAUAUAUUUAGCGAUAAAAAGGAGAAUCAUGGUGUCUGUGAAAAUGCUUUGUGAUGUGUCAUUUCAUCUCAAAGGAUGGAAGCUAUGUUUUGAUACACCAGGUUUCAAACAUUUUUAUGUAGAGUCUACAAAGUGACAUUUCUGAGCCCAUUGAGGCCUAUAAAGAGAAAUGGAAUAACCAGGGAUAAAAACUAGAAAGAAGCUACAUACUUUGGGAUGUGCUGUUUUAUAUCAAAGAAUGGAACCUCUAUUUUAAUUCACCACGUUUUAGACCUUCUUUUUGUAGAAUCUAUGAAGUGACAUUUCUGAGUCCAUUGAGGCCUACAAGGAAAAACCAAAUAUCCAUCUCUAAAAACUGAAGAAUCUCCACAUAAAAAUACUAUGUGAUUUGCUGUUGCACAUCACAUAAGGAAAGCUGUGUUGUGAUUCACCUGUUCAAAUCCUCUUUGUGUAAAAUUUAUGAAGUGACAUUUCUCUGCCCAUAGAGGUCUAUAAGUAAAAAUUGUAUAUCCAUAUGUAAAAACUAUAAAGUAUCUAUGUUUGAAAAUGCUUUGUUAUGUGAUGUUUCAUAUCACAGAAUGGAAACCUGUGUCUUGAUUCACCAGGUUCAAAACUCUCCUUUUGUAGAAUUUAUGAAGAGACACUCUGUUGCCAUUGAGGCCUAAAAAGAAAAAUUGAAUAUCCAUUUCUAAAAAUCAUAGAAGUUAUGUGUGAAAAUGCUUUCAGAUGUGUGUUUCAUGUCAGGAAAUGCAACCAGGGUUUUCAUUCACCAGGGUCCAAACACUAUUCUGGAGAAUAUAUGAAGUGACA